This 542-nucleotide ribosomal RNA is filed under the name uncultured bacterium. Its description in RNAcentral is "bacterial SSU rRNA". It matches the Rfam family "Bacterial small subunit ribosomal RNA", at positions 338 to 866 of the family's 1533-position model. The record is from RNAcentral.
CCUACGGGAGGCAGCAGUGGGGAAUUUUGGACAAUGGGCGCAAGCCUGAUCCAGCCAUGCCGCGUGCGGGAAGAAGGCCUUCGGGUUGUAAACCGCUUUUGUCAGGGAAGAAAUCCCUUGAGCUAAUACCUCGGGGGGAUGACGGUACCUGAAGAAUAAGCACCGGCUAACUACGUGCCAGCAGCCGCGGUAAUACGUAGGGUGCAAGCGUUAAUCGGAAUUACUGGGCGUAAAGCGUGCGCAGGCGGUUAUGUAAGACAGGUGUGAAAUCCCCGGGCUUAACCUGGGAACUGCACUUGUGACUGCAUAGCUUGAGUGCGGCAGAGGGGGAUGGAAUUCCGCGUGUAGCAGUGAAAUGCGUAGAUAUGCGGAGGAACACCGAUGGCGAAGGCAAUCCCCUGGGCCUGCACUGACGCUCAUGCACGAAACGACGGUGGGGAGGACGAAACGAAGGAGUUAGUAUACCCUACGGUAGUACCGACCGACCCGUAAACCGAACUAGUCUAACUAGGUUGGUUGGUACGGUCGUUGUCGUGUUCGUA